CAUCUGGAGGACUGAGCUUGGUUUUUAGGCGUUGGGCCACCAAAAAGACUGCUGGAUCAACAAAAAAUGGCCGUGACUCUAACCCAAAGUAUUUGGGUGUUAAGAAAUUUGGUGGAGAGAAAGUAGAACCAGGAAACAUCAUCGUUCGCCAAAGAGGUACCCGCUUCCAUCCUGGGAACUAUGUUGGAAUGGGGAAGGACCACACUCUCUUCUCCCUGAAGGAGGGCCACGUGAGGUUCGAGCGGAAUAAGCUGACUGGUAGGAAAUGGAUUCAUGUGGAACCUGCAGCUGGCCACACUCUCCACCCUGUCUAUGCCACCGCAGCUGAUACGGAGCAACUUCAGUAGCGCCUCUGUCCAUGGGGUUUGCAGUAACAACAUGUCGCUGAUAGCUUCCUGGGAAGGCUUUGCUGUUUUGCUCCGGCUCGGAUACCUUCAGUCAAUGAACUUGUUUCAACGAAGAUGAUCCUAGGUUUGGAUAAUUGCAAUAAGUAGUAACUUCAGCAUGUUUCUGAUGCAUUUUGAGUAUCCAUUCUGCACUUCCAUGUGUAGAUUUUAGUCUGAUUAGCUGCAAUGAGUAGGUCAUAUGCUGUUUUUCUCUGAAAUCAUCAGUGUUACUUCCAGUCGUUCCGUUCUCCAAGUUUGCCGACUGACCCUUGACUCAGUGUAGUUGCUGUUGAUGGUAUGUCUUGCAAGUUAUUAUCCACACCUCCUCAUGGCGCCUGAAGCUAUUACGCCAUGAGAACAUGGUCAUCUGCCUGAACC
This is a long non-coding RNA of Lolium rigidum, 764 nucleotides long. RefSeq lists it as uncharacterized. The transcript is spliced from 2 exons. The record is from RefSeq and is a predicted model, not a curated record. NCBI's taxonomy places the organism in Eukaryota, Viridiplantae, Streptophyta, Magnoliopsida, Poales, Poaceae.